This 72-nucleotide transfer RNA is filed under the name Dipodomys ordii (Ord's kangaroo rat). It matches the Rfam family "tRNA". Rfam says of the family: Transfer RNA (tRNA) molecules are approximately 80 nucleotides in length. Lineage: Eukaryota; Metazoa; Chordata; Mammalia; Rodentia; Heteromyidae. The record is from Rfam by way of RNAcentral.
GGAGCCAUGGCUCCAUAGUAGAGUGUUUGCCUAGCAAGUGGGAGGCCCUGAGUUCAAACCUCAGUACCUCUC